UACGGGGGGGGGCAAGCGUUGUUCGGAAUUACUGGGCGUAAAGGGCUCGUAGGCGGCCAACUAAGUCGGAUGUGAAAUCCCCAGGCUCAACCUGGGAACUGCAUCCGAUACUGGAUGGCUUGAAUUCGGGAGAGGGAUGCAGAAUUCCAGGUGUAGCGGUGAAAUGCGUAGAUAUCUGGAGGAAUACCGGUGGCGAAGGCGGCAUCCUGGACCGACAUUGACGCUGAGGAGCGAAAGCUAGGGGAGCAAACGGG
This 254-nucleotide ribosomal RNA is filed under the name uncultured bacterium. RNAcentral describes it as "partial 16S ribosomal RNA". It matches the Rfam family "Bacterial small subunit ribosomal RNA", at positions 524 to 776 of the family's 1533-position model. The record is from RNAcentral.